UACGUAGGGUCCAAGCGUUGUCCGGAUUUAUUGGGCGUAAAGAGCUCGUAGGCGGUCUGUCGCGUCGGCUGUGAAAACCCGAGGCUCAACCUCGGGCCUGCAGUCGAUACGGGCAAACUAGAGUACUGCAGGGGAGACUGGAAUUCCUGGUGUAGCGGUGAAAUGCGCAGAUAUCAGGAGGAACACCGGUGGCGAAGGCGGGUCUCUGGGCAGUAACUGACGCUGAGGAGCGAAAGCGUGGGGAGCGAACAGG
Molecule: ribosomal RNA, 253 nt
Filed under: uncultured bacterium
Lineage: Bacteria
Description: partial 16S ribosomal RNA
Rfam family: Bacterial small subunit ribosomal RNA
Source: RNAcentral